GAUGAACGCUGGCGGCGUGCCUAAUACAUGCGAGUCGAGCGAACAGACGAGGAGCUUGCUCCUCUGACGUUAGCGGCGGACGGGUGAGUAACACGUGGAUAACCUACCUAUAAGACUGGGAUAACUUCGGGAAACCGGUGCUAAUACCGGAUUAUAUAUUGAACCGCAUGGUGCAAUAGUGAAAGACGGCUUUGCUGUCACUUAUAGCUGGAUCCGCGCCGCAUUAGCUAGUUGGUAAGGUAACGGCUUACCAAGGCCACGAUGCGUAGCCGACCUGAGAGGGUGAUCGGCCACACUGGAACUGAGACACGGUCCAGACUCCUACGGGAGGCAGCAGUAGGGAAUCUUCCGCAAUGGGCGAAAGCCUGACGGAGCAACGCCGCGUGUGUGAAGAAGGUCUUCGGAUCGUAAAACUCUGUUAUUAGGGAAGAACAAAUGUGUAAGUAACCAUGCACGUCUUGACGGUACCUAAUCAGAAAGCCACGGCUAACUACGUG
RNAcentral lists this ribosomal RNA (497 nucleotides) under uncultured bacterium. RNAcentral's name for it is "partial 16S ribosomal RNA". It matches the Rfam family "Bacterial small subunit ribosomal RNA", at positions 28 to 507 of the family's 1533-position model. The record is from RNAcentral.